RNAcentral lists this ribosomal RNA (460 nucleotides) under uncultured bacterium. RNAcentral's name for it is "bacterial SSU rRNA". It matches the Rfam family "Bacterial small subunit ribosomal RNA", at positions 917 to 1382 of the family's 1533-position model. The record is from RNAcentral.
GGGCCCGCACAAGCAGCGGAGCAUGUGGCUUAAUUCGAAGCAACGCGAAGAACCUUACCAGGGCUUGACAUUCAGGUGAAGCGGCGGAAACGUCGUGGCCGAGAGGAGCCUGAACAGGUGGUGCAUGGCUGUCGUCAGCUCGUGUCGUGAGAUGUUGGGUUAAGUCCCGCAACGAGCGCAACCCUCGUCGCAUGUUGCCAGCGGUUCGGCCGGGCACCCAUGCGAGACCGCCGGCGUUAAGCCGGAGGAAGGUGGGGACGACGUCAAGUCAUCAUGCCCCUUAUGUCCGGGGCUGCACACGUGCUACAAUGGUCGGCACAAUGGGCUGCCAGCCCGCGAGGGCGAGCGAAUCCCUAAAGCCGGCCCCAGUUCGGAUUGGAGGCUGCAACCCGCCUCCAUGAAGUCGGAGUUGCUAGUAAUCGCGGAUCAGCACGCCGCGGUGAAUGCGUUCCCGGGCCUU